RNAcentral lists this ribosomal RNA (352 nucleotides) under uncultured bacterium. Its description in RNAcentral is "bacterial SSU rRNA". It matches the Rfam family "Bacterial small subunit ribosomal RNA", at positions 30 to 396 of the family's 1533-position model. The record is from RNAcentral.
AGCGAACGCUGGCGGCAUGCCUAACACAUGCAAGUCGCACGGUCGGGGGGUGACCUUCGGCAGUGGCGGACGGGUGAGUAACGCGUAGGGAUCUAUCCUUGGAUGGGGGACGAACCGCGGGAAACCGCGGCUAAUACCGCAUGAUGCCUGAGGGCCAAAGCUCGCGAGAGCGUCUGGGGAGGAGCCUGCGUCCGAUUAGCUUGUUGGUGGGGUAACGGCCCACCAAGGCGUCGAUCGGUAGCUGGUCUGAGAGGAUGAUCAGCCACACUGGGACUGAGACACGGCCCAGACUCCUACGGGAGGCAGCGAGUGGGGAAUAUUGGACAAUGGGCGCAAGCCUGAUCCAGCAAUG